UACGUAGGGUGCGAGCGUUAAUCGGAAUUACUGGGCGUAAAGCGUGCGCAGGCGGUUUUGUAAGACAGGGGUGAAAUCCCCGGGCUUAACCUGGGAACUGCAUUUGUGACUGCAAGGCUAGAGUGUGGCAGAGGGGGGUAGAAUUCCGCGUGUAGCAGUGAAAUGUGUAGAUAUGCGGAGGAAUACCGAUGGCGAAGGCAGCUUCCUGGGUCAACACUGACGCUCAUGCACGAAAGCGUGGGGAGCAAACAGG
RNAcentral lists this ribosomal RNA (253 nucleotides) under uncultured bacterium. RNAcentral's name for it is "partial 16S ribosomal RNA". It matches the Rfam family "Bacterial small subunit ribosomal RNA", at positions 524 to 776 of the family's 1533-position model. The record is from RNAcentral.